This 195-nucleotide ribosomal RNA is filed under the name Triticum aestivum (bread wheat). Its description in RNAcentral is "partial small subunit ribosomal RNA". The record is from RNAcentral. Lineage: Eukaryota; Viridiplantae; Streptophyta; Magnoliopsida; Poales; Poaceae.
AUGGAAGGCUUACUACACAGGGACUUUGCUCCUGGCUUGGCCCUGGCCGAUCAGGUGAGAAGAAAAUUUGGUUCUACGGUGCACUUCUCUUCUUCUCGUGACAUCAAGGAGUUCUUCUUGGUGGUUUCCUUUUCGUCGGCCUCCUUCCCUCUCACGGUUGAAUCGGUGGGUAUCGCUCUUCAGUGUUGCAUUGGA